Molecule: ribosomal RNA, 272 nt
Filed under: Acinetobacter baumannii
Lineage: Bacteria; Pseudomonadati; Pseudomonadota; Gammaproteobacteria; Moraxellales; Moraxellaceae
Description: partial 23S ribosomal RNA
Rfam family: Bacterial large subunit ribosomal RNA
Source: RNAcentral
CUGGGAAGUGCGAACGUAGAGGGUGAUAUUCCCGUACACGAAAGGGCACACAUAAUGAUGACGAGUAGGGCGAGGCACGUGAAACCUUGUCUGAAUAUGGGGGGACCAUCCUCCAAGGCUAAAUACUCCUGACUGACCGAUAGUGAACCAGUACCGUGAGGGAAAGGCGAAAAGAACCCCUGUGAGGGGAGUGAAAUAGAUCCUGAAACCGCAUGCAUACAAGCAGUGGGAGCACCUUCGUGGUGUGACUGCGUACCUUUUGUAUAAUGGGU